CUCCUUACGGAGUCUCACCCUCCUUACGGAGUCUCACCCUCCUUACAGAGUCUCACCCUCCUUACGGAGUCACACCCUCCUUACGGAGUCACACCCUCCUUACGGAGUCUCACCCUCCUUACGGAGUCUCUGACCACAGACUAGGUAGACUAGGUGGGACAGCAGUCUGUGGACUAGGUGUGACAGCAGUCUGUGGACUAGGUGUGACAGCAGUCUGUGGACUAGGUGUGACAGCAGUCUGUGGACUAGGUGUGACAGCAGUCUGUGGACUAGGUGUGACAGCAGUCUGUGGACUAGGUGUGACAGCAGUCUGUGGACUAGGUGUGACAGCAGUCUGUGGACUAGGUGGGACAGCAGUCUGUGGACUAGGUGGGACAGCAGUCUGUGGACUAGGUGGGACAGCAGUCUGUGGACUAGGUGGGACAGCAGUCUGUGGACUAGGUGGGACAGCAGUCUGUGGACUAGGUGGGACAGCAGUCUGUGGACUAGGUGGGACAGCAGUCUGUGGACUAGGUGGGACAGCAGUCUGUGGACUAGGUGGGACAGCAGUCUGUGGACUAGGUGGGACAGCAGUCUGUGGACUAGGUGGGACAGCAGUCUGUGGACUAGGUGGGACAGCAGUCUGUGGACUAGGUGGGACAGCAGUCUGUGGACUAGGUGGGACAGCAGUCUGUGGACUAGGUGGGACAGCAGUCUGUGGACUAGGUGGGACAAAUAUCUGGAUCAUACCAUCUCUGUGUGUGUGUGUGUGUGUGUGUGUGUGUGUGUGUGUGUGUGUGUGUGUGUGUGUGUGUGUGUGUGUGUGUGUGUGUGUGUGUGUGACAGUGUCUGUGUGUGUGUGUGACAGUGUCUGUGUGUGUGUGUGACAGUGUCUG
Molecule: long non-coding RNA, 875 nt
Organism: Oncorhynchus keta (chum salmon)
Lineage: Eukaryota; Metazoa; Chordata; Actinopteri; Salmoniformes; Salmonidae
Exons: 3
Source: RefSeq, a predicted model, not a curated record